GACGAACGCUGGCGGUGUGCUUAACACAUUCAAGUCGAACGGUAAGGCCCUUUCGGGGGUACACGAGUGGCGAACGGGUGAGUAACACGUGAGUAACCUGCCCUCAUCUCUGGGAUAACAGUCGGAAACGGUUGCUAAUACUGGAUAUGAGCCUGCAAGGCAUCUUGUGGGUUGGAAAGAUUUUUUGGUUGGGGAUGGACUCGCGGCCUAUCAGCUUGUUGGUGAGGUAGUGGCUCACCAAGGCUUCGACGGGUAGCCGGCCUGAGAGGGCGACCGGCCACAUUGGGACUGAGAUACGGCCCAAACUCCUACGGGAGGCAGCAGUGGGGAAUAUUGCACAAUGGACGGAAGUCUGAUGCAGCAACGCCGCGUGCGGGAUGACGGCCUUCGGGUUGUAAACCGCUUUCAAUUGUGACGAAGCUUUUUGUGACGGUAGCAGUAGAAGAAGCACCGGCUAACUACGUG
Molecule: ribosomal RNA, 465 nt
Filed under: uncultured bacterium
Lineage: Bacteria
Description: partial 16S ribosomal RNA
Rfam family: Bacterial small subunit ribosomal RNA
Source: RNAcentral